This is a long non-coding RNA of Vigna unguiculata (cowpea), 152 nucleotides long. NCBI's taxonomy places the organism in Eukaryota, Viridiplantae, Streptophyta, Magnoliopsida, Fabales, Fabaceae. The record is from RefSeq and is a predicted model, not a curated record.
AAGAAAGCUUCAAACAACACAACACCCUCAAUCCUAAACAGAAACAAGCUUUGGCCAAGCAGUUAGGUCUUCAGCCUCGACAAGUCGAAGUGUGGUUCCAGAACCGGAGAGCCAGAACAAAGCUGAAGCAGACAGAGGUGGACUGCAAGUAG